AUGGUCUAGCUCUUUGAGGAAGACGCGGUCGUAGCUACAGCGGAGGUUUGGACGCCCGGCUCCUGCUCCUGACUCACCGCUGCUCGCUCUCACCGAGGAACAAGUCGGUCAGGAAGCCGCGCCGCAGCCAUGGCUUUUAAAGACACCGGAAAGACACCCGUGGAACCGGAGGUGGCGAUUCACCGAAUCAGAAUUACUCUCACCAGCCGCAACGUAAAAUCUUUGGAAAAGGUAUGUGCUGACUUGAUCAGAGGCGCAAAGGAAAAGAAUCUCAAAGUGAAAGGACCAGUUCGGAUGCCUAUCAAGACUCUGAGAAUCACUACAAGAAAAACUCCUUGUGGUGAAGGUUCUAAGACCUGGGAUCGUUUUCAGAUGAGGAUCCACAAGCGACUCAUUGAUUUGCACAGUCCUUCUGAGAUUGUUAAGCAGAUUACUUCCAUCAGUAUUGAGCCAGGAGUUGAGGUUGAAGUCACCAUUGCAGAUGCUUAAAUCAACCUUUUUAAUAAAUUGAUUAUCGGUUGUUAAAAAAAAAAAUAAAAAAAUAAAAA
Molecule: non-coding RNA, 548 nt
Organism: Leptonychotes weddellii (Weddell seal)
Lineage: Eukaryota; Metazoa; Chordata; Mammalia; Carnivora; Phocidae
Source: RefSeq, a predicted model, not a curated record